GAGCACGUAGGUGGGUUUGUAAGUCAGAUGUGAAAGCCUUCUGUUCCACGGAAGAAUUGCAUCUGAAACUGCGAGUCUUGAGUGUAGGAGGGGAGAAUGGAACUUCUGGUGGAGCGGUGAAAUGCGUAGAUAUCAGAAGGAACGCCGGCGGCGAAAGCGAUUCUCUGGCCUAUUACUGACACUCAGUGUGCGAAAGCUAGGGGAGCAAACGGGAUUAGAUACCCCGGUAGUCCUAGCCGUAAACGAUGGGCACUAAGUAGAGGGG
This 265-nucleotide ribosomal RNA is filed under the name uncultured Planctomycetales bacterium. Its description in RNAcentral is "partial 16S ribosomal RNA". It matches the Rfam family "Bacterial small subunit ribosomal RNA", at positions 565 to 828 of the family's 1533-position model. The record is from RNAcentral. RNAcentral also lists the same sequence under 1 other name. Lineage: Bacteria; Pseudomonadati; Planctomycetota; Planctomycetia; Planctomycetales.